This is a long non-coding RNA of Branchiostoma belcheri (Belcher's lancelet), 360 nucleotides long. RefSeq lists it as uncharacterized. Lineage: Eukaryota; Metazoa; Chordata; Leptocardii; Amphioxiformes; Branchiostomatidae. The transcript has 4 exons. The record is from RefSeq and is a predicted model, not a curated record.
GUCAGCAGCGUCAAAGAUGGCGGCGUCCGGUGAUACUGGAGAUUAGCAAAUCCUGUCCCUCACCGUCCCACAACUCCUGACAGCAGCCCAAGACAGGAAGACUUGGCUACACCUCUGCUGCAAGGUCUGCCUUGUCCCCCCGACGACCAGUGUCGGUCAUGGGACUAGGUAGGGCCUGGCAAAUGUCAAGAAUUCCUGUGGUGUUUGCAAGAAAGGAGUUAGAAGAAACCAGAAAGACUGCCAACAAGCCCAGAAGAGUUUUUCUCCUUCUUGAGGGAUGCUCUUGAGUCUGAGCUGUUCCUUUUGGGCAACUUUAACACCAACCUCAAGACCCCCAGCUGCAAAUUCAAGUUUGAACUG